UACCUGCGUCUGGAAAUAAAUGC
RNAcentral lists this non-coding RNA (23 nucleotides) under Cricetulus griseus (Chinese hamster). Lineage: Eukaryota; Metazoa; Chordata; Mammalia; Rodentia; Cricetidae. The record is from RNAcentral.